GCUCGAUGGCCUGCUGCCCGCCCCCAGCCCCCGUCCCCGCCCCCCCGGGUCACCUUCAGGUGUGGGGUAUCGCCUGGGGCGGGGGGCUGGAAGUGGGUGAUGGAAAUGAGCGCUCGAUUCCACCUGACUCAAUCCCGUGCUCCUGCGGACCAAGUUUGUAAACUCCCAAGUGCAGCGCUCCUAGAAUGAGCAAACCAUUGGAUUCAGAGUCAAUGGCAGGCUGUUAGGCUUGUUUUGGGGGUGUGGAGGGUUUUGUUUUCUGGAGGUCCGAUGCUGAGCCUUGCGAGCCUGGCUUUCUGUCUUUAAGCCACAUGCCCCAAGCCCAAUGGGUAAGUCAGAGGCGCAUCUCCAGCAUGCCGGCUUUCAGGCGUUGCUCUGUGACCUUAGCAAAACUACUCCAUCUCCAUUUUCCUGAGAUGAGAGCUACUUGCAACACAUGGGCCUGCCAAGAAAAAGUGUAGGUAGAAGAGGCCAAUGGCGUGCAUAACAAAGGCCUGGAAAUGGGCGGUAUUGGUGUGCAGAUUUCAAAAUACCGCCCAUCGGCCUUGCGAUUCCUCCGAGUCUGGCCGCUGCCUAGAAUGCUUUCUUCGAUUGUACACGAGGUGUUGAAGAGUGUUUCACAGAUCAGUGUCUCCUUCAGCCUCCUCAGAGAGUCUUCCUCCUGUAGCAGAUGAGAACAGAUGCAAAGAUCCACAGCCAGACACUGUGAAGAGAGACCUUUGAACACAGCUGUUCUAAAUGAGAUGUUGCCAUCAAGUCCUCGCCUCAUAGCCCAGAGAACCCUGCAGACAGGGAGGCAGAAGGAAUGUGGAAGCCAAAGAGGAUGGAGAACUCUAGGAGAACCAGGCCCUCCAAAUCAACUGAACUCGGAGACUGAAGCAGCAACAAGCACAAGACCUACACAGGUCUUCACCAAGUCCUCUGUGUAUAUACAUAUUUGUAACAGACUUUCUUCACCAAGUCCUCUGUGUAUAUACAUAUUUGUAACAGACUUUCUUUUGGGCCACCAACCAGCUCCCGAAUCAGACUUCUUAUUAGUUACGAAUGUUUCGCCUUAUGCUUAUCGCACUAGCUCACAACUUUAACCUGUUUCUCUUUUUACCUUUCUUUCAUUCUGUAUGUCCUACUCCAUGUCUGACUGGCCUGGGGCUGGCUGGAUGUCCCUGUGCAUCUCCCUCUGUUUCCCCCUUGUUCUCUCUUCUUCCUCUCUCAAGCCUUGAUUUCUCCUACUGCUUAUUCUCUCUGCCCGCCAGCCCUACCUAUCCCUCCUCUGCUUAGCUAGUAGCCAUUCAGCUUUUUAUUACAUCAGUCAUGUACCUUAGGCAAGCAAGGUAAAAUAGCAACACAUCUUUACAUAAUUAACCAAAUGCAGCAAAAACAAAUGUAACACAUCUUUGCCUAGUUAAACACAUGCAACAUAAACAAAUACAACACACCUUUACAUAGUUGAAGUAAUAUUCCGCAACAUAAACAAAUGUAACACAUCUCUACAUAGUUAAAGUAAUAUUCCACAAUAUAUUAUAACUUUCAGUUUAGUACAUUUAUGGGACUUUUGAAUAUGUAAAUAAGUGGGUCUCUGA
Mesocricetus auratus (golden hamster) is the source of this 1580-nucleotide long non-coding RNA. RefSeq lists it as uncharacterized. NCBI's taxonomy places the organism in Eukaryota, Metazoa, Chordata, Mammalia, Rodentia, Cricetidae. The transcript has 2 exons. The record is from RefSeq and is a predicted model, not a curated record.